CAAGCUUCAAGCAUUAUCUGUAAAUUCAGUGGAUGAAAAUGAGAUUAUUGAUCUACAACCCCUCUCUUCUCCACCUCCAUUUCUCCAGAGAGUCUACUUGACAGGACGUCUUGAGGCGUUACCAGAUUGGAUAUCAUCUCUUGAUAGCCUAACGGUAUUGUAUCUGAGAUGUAGUCAGUUAAAGGAUAAUCCUCUGCCAUCUCUUGGGAAAUUGCCUAAUCUUGUGCAUCUCGCCUUGCUUCAGGCUUAUGAAGGAACCAAGCUGUGUUUCAAAGCCUACGACUUUAUGAAGCUAAGGUUUCUGAUCCUUGGUCCUUUUGACAAACUCAAAUGCGUGGAAGUGGAAAAGGGAUCCAUGCCUUGUCUUGAGGAGUUGAUUAUUGAGAGUUGUAAGUUAUUGAAGAAGCUUCCAUCCGGAAUUGAGCACCUGGAAAAGCUGAAAGUGAUGAAGUUUGUUGACAUGCCUGAUGAGUUUGUGAAGAAACUUAUGCCAGAUGGACAAGACGAUAUUUACCUGAAAGUGGCCCAUGUUCCAGAAGUAUAUUACGGUUGCCGGAGAGGUGGAGGAUGGGAAGUCGUGCUCACCAAGGCAUUUGUGUGAGGAGCGUUGAAUUUCCUCCAUGCUUGAAAUGACUGGCUGAGCCUAGGCUGUAUAAUACUUUUUGCGAGGUAUUAGCGAUUGAAUGACUGUAAUGCUCGAAAAUCCUUGUUACUUCGUGAUAAUAGUUUAAAAGCAUAGUGUAGGGUUACUAUGGGUCUGUAAAUGACAUUUAGCAGCUGUUGGCAAUAUUCUGCAACGUCCCUUUUCCUCACAGAAGAGAAGGGUCAAGUGAUGGUGUAUAUACACCUUUGAACUUCUUGGAGUGUAUGCAGAUUUGAGAUGAAAUUCUGCUAUUAUGAGAAACCAUUUAGAUGUUUGUCACCACCGUACAUGAUUAUUUGAGUAUUACUUUUGCGGGCUAGGCCCAAAUGGUGCGUAUCAGGUUGUUAAGAGUCCUACUUGUGAAGCAUCCGAUGCGCCACCUGGGGUAUUACAGUUUCAGUCCCCCGAACAGUCUCAACAUUGCUCUUCUACAAGUCAGUGAAGACACUUUCCCAUGUUUUCCUCUUUAAAAAUGGCUUUUGCUGCCUUGACCACGACAAGUCUCUUGCGGUUCCGUUAAUCGUAUAACGUCCCCAUGCAAGGAAUUUUAGCAUACGAGACUUCUGGUGAAGGUCCAAAGUUUUGUUUUCCGGGAACUUAAAUGCUUUUUUCCAUAAACAUCCUCUCUCUCUCUCUCUCUCUCUCUCUCUCUCUCUCUCUCUNNNNNNNNNNNNNNNNNNNNNNNNNNNNNNNNNNNNNNNNNNNNNNNNNNNNNNNNNNNNNNNNNNNNNNNNNNNNNNNNNNNNNNNNNNNNNNNNNNNNCCCCCCCCCCCCCCAACCUCAAUGGACAGUAACUUCACUCUAUUUGUUUCGCAAAAAAUUUUGACAUUUCUGAAAAAAAAAUUCCUAUGCAAGGUUCCUGAACCAAGCCUCUGUGGACCCAAGCUUGGCAUUUGUAGACCUGGGCCAAGCCUCGAUGGACCCAAACCGGAGCAUCGAUGACUUGAACAUGAUGGUCAAGUACCCAAGCAAGGGCACCGGGGUCUAGGGGCCCAGCCUCGAGAGACACAGGCCUGAGUGCCAUUGACCCAGCCACAAGAGUCGGGUACUUGAGCACUGCCGCCAGGAACCCCAACACAGAUACCAGGGUCUUGGACCCAGCCUCCAAGGACCUAGACUCGGCCUUUACGAACCCCGACCCACGUGUGACGGGGGCGCAUGAGCCAAGUACCUGAGCAUGGCUGCCCAAGACUCGCGCUCCUACAUCAGGAUCUCAGGCCCGGGUGCCUGGUAUCUUGAUGGAGGCAAAGUAAAACGACAACUUCAACCAUGAAUCGUAUGUUUUAGGAUUUUGCGCUCAAACAAAACUCGAGGAAGGCAGUGACAACCGACAAUAAGCACCAACUAGGAAGAGGAUCCAUAUUGAAUCGGCAAGGAGUGAGACGAAAGUGACCACUGUCAAUUUCCCUGGCCAUACAAAUGCCCAUUCACGCAACGGCGGAAUCUUGAUGGAGAGGAAAAGCUCUUCCAUCAAGGAAUUGCAUUCAUUUCCUUCGUAUUUUGCAACAUCUUCAACAGCAAGAUGUUACUUCCAAAUUACUGGGCGAACGUUCCACAACAGGACAGGUCUCAACCAUAAUCAAGUACCUUUCUUUCAAGAUUUCUUGUGGCUCAGUAGGACCUCCUGCUUCCCCAUCCAUAUCUGAUAUCAAUGCUUGCAAGCUCAACAUAAGGAAGUUCGCUCCAUUGGAUAGCUUGUGAUUCAUAAGGAUUUCAAAGCCAGCCGUCCCUGAUCAGGCAAAGCAUGUUCGCAGAGGUUUGAACAUGGAGUGUCCUACUUUUCAUCACAAGUACGUCCACCGAAUGUUCAAUAAAAUGCCAAGCAGGAAACGGUAAAGAAGGUACAAAACGGUAGACAUUCCGAAUACACGGAGUUAUGAGUGACUCAGAACGUGUCUUGGAAUUGGUUUUAUUAUUAUUAUUAUUAUUUUAUUUUAUUUUUUUCGGGUAUAGCACGUUCAUUCAGGAGAUUGGUGCUAGUAAAAGUAGCUUUCUCAUCCUCAUGGGAUAGCCUUUUCACCCCCGGCAUGGGAAGUCAGCUCGAGGUUGUCGUGACCGAUGGUGCUAAUGUUAGCAACGAUCAGUUAGGGCAUGGUCUAUUUCUCACUUGUCUGGGAAGGGCAAGAAAUCUAGUUCAUUGGAGACUAGAUCCUAGAAAUUCGCUUGAAGGUAGACAUGUAAAAUCUCUGCAUGCUGGUCACUGAAUGAAGCCAUGGAAGAAUCAAAGAAGAGAGCACGUUGAAAAUUUUAAGCAUAUGGCCUCAGUUGCUUGUGUAGCAUAGUAGGUGAACUAGUCUCCCUUUCCUCAGAAACAAUGAACUUCACGAGUAUCUCAGCAAUAAAUCACAUGAUCCUCUUACGCCUUCACGACAGCACUAACUCCAACAAGGAGUUGCCCAGAAAUUGCUCGGAGAAUACCAAUAACUUCUUCUUGCCUGAGCUUCUAAGGAGGUUUCAGUUCAAGUCUUGUCCGUUUUGAAGCUUUGUACGAAGUUAGGUUGCUUCAUAUCCAUAAAGCCCUGACCGAUUCUUUUACUCAAUGAAGCAAGCUUCAGAAAGCUUAAACACAAUGGUAUCCUGAAACAGAAUAGUUUGCCUGCAAAUGUUCAGUAACUUUCACUGGAUACAAUUAUCGAAAAUCAAUGGCCGGCCGAUAGCCAUUCGGCAAAAAGUCACUUUCAUUAUCAUUAGUAUGAAAAUAUAUUCAGUACUUGCAGUGAACUUGCCUAGUAAACAGGAACUCUGACCAUUUAGGAAAAAGUCACUCCCACUGACAUUAGUAUAAAAAUAUAUUCAGUAGUUGCAGUGAACUUGUCUAGUAACAGGAAUCUUGACCAUUCAGGAAAAAGUCACUCUCAUGAACAUUAGUCUAAAAGUAUAUUCAGCACUUGCAAUGAACUUGCCCAGUAAAGAAAAAAAUUGAUUAGAACCACAUCAGAAGUUUGUGAGUAUAAAACAUGAGUGAAUUGGAAAAUAAUUUUCUUGUCAUUUCCUUUGAAAUGUUAAACAACAAUCUUAAUAAAAGUUUCAGAGAGUCAGGUAUAUUUGUACACAAACCAAGCAACUUAAGCACGCAAUCCUACUAAAAGAUAUCAAUAAUGGUUAAUUUCAACUUACUAAGACAGAGUGUGCGGUUUUUUAAUUUGUUAAGCAGGUUUGCAUAAUAACCAAACAGCUAUGAACUGAUGGAUGACUAGACAUCAGAAGCUUGACCAUUUCCACACCAAACCCCCGGCCUGUGGGAGCACUAUGUUAGAGGAUACCAGCUAGUGUAUUCUCCAGAACUUCGAUAUACGCAAAAUAGAGCAUGGCAGAAAUUGCAGUGAACUGCCUCCUUGACAAGCUCAAGGACUUUAGAGAAAACGGGGUUCUAUUCAGAGGUGCCGAGGAAGAAGCAGAGCCAAAAAACAUCAAGGUGCUGAUCAUAAUCAAGUACCUCUCUUUCAAGACGGAUCUGGCCACCAACGAAUGAACCGCUUCCUAGGAGAAAGAUGAGCUCGUCUAUCGCCACAUCUGCUAAAUCAAAACGGUCACUCACACCGAAACAGACGAUGAACUUCCCCUAUCUAUUUCAUCAUAAACUGAAUGAUUGUUGGAGAGAUACAGAGAGGGAAUGCACGCUCAAGUAUAAAUUGUGAAGAAGACCGAUUUGAAUCAUUCAAAACACUGAGAACGACUAUAAUCUUGUCCUAAUUCCUCAAUUUAGGUGAUUUAGCCCAAUUCGUUGAUUUGGGCCAAAAGGACGUUAUGUACGCUCUAUUUUGUUGACUUCAUUUCAGCGGCAAGACACAAUGGCCAAUUUGUAUUAAAUUGAUGCCAUGUCGGAUCUUUUGGCCACACAAAUCGCCAAUGGUGAUCGAGUGAAGAAUUUUUAACUAGCGUGGCAUAUAAUUGAUAGAAACAAGUUAUGGCACUCAUGUAAGUACUAUAUAAAAGUAAUGACACUUGUAGUGUACUUUUCAUUUUAUUGAGCAUGAGUCAAAAAUUCACUUAAUAUGAUAAAUAAGGGAGUUAAUUCAAUAAAUAGAAAAACUAAUUGAUGACAAGUAAAAACUUGCCGAAUAUAUUUCUAAAACCUUCCAAUAAUGAUCGGUGUCUUAUGUUUUGUAUGAGCUUAAUAAUAUUUAACUAUUAAUUUCUGAUAAUCAUCAAACAAAUCUUUAUUGUUAACACCACCAACCAUUAAAAUUCAGUACUUAAAUUUUCAAUAUUUUAAUAACCUUAUUUAUCAUUGACUUAAAAGAUCCAAUAAAAUCCAGAAUUUUCAUAAUAAAUCCAGAAUUUUCAUGAUAUGGUAAAUAAGGUAAUGAUUCAUGCAACAUCAAAAACAAUUGAUGGCAAGUGGAACGUGCAAAAUAUACUGUUCAACCUUCCAAUAUUGGUCCGUGUUCGGCAUCACAGCGUACAGCGUGCCUUUACUAGAAGAUGGUGCGAGAAGCAGGCAAGCCUAGUCGACAGAAGAGCAGCCUAGUCCGUCUAUCUAUGUGCUCCUUUCUUUUUGUUACUGUAUAAACAAGGUAAAAAACCAGGAAGGCCUACUGAAAAGCCUAGACUAAUCAGCCAACAAGACUGAAAGGGCCGAUAAUGGCUGUGUCUUAAGCAGGCACAUUUCCAGAUUCAUAUUCAAGGAAGAAAUUUGACAACAUGUUCACUUAGAAUCCCAUCACUCUGAUUCUAUCCACUACACAACUCAUGGAAGGGUCACACAAGAUGUCCACCUUUUUCUGCAGAAACAAAGUAGUAACAAUCUGCAAUCUCCAAACGGUAAGUGCCUAAUAAACUGGAAGGACCAAUUAACAUGAAGUUGGUUUUGAGAGCUGGGACUGCUUGGUAAUGAUGCCUCCACAGUGAUUCAGAUUGAGGAUUUCAGAUCCUAACGAAUAAGUUAUCGCCUUCAGAUCUUGCCAUAUAAUAGAGGUCAGUGGACGAACUUUGACCGCCUCUCUUCAUCUGAAUCGACCCCGCAUGACACACCGGCGACUACUUAAACUUAUCCAGAAGGGUGCCAUCAAUUUAAUAGUCAUCAAGGUACCUGCUGAUGCCCCUUUAUUGCUAAAGCUACCGUCACCAGCCAUGAAGACGAAAUUUGUUUCGCAAAUUGUUGUCUAAGGAUUUUUAAGUAUACUAUAAACAGAAAACUCAUUUUUGCAAGGUAUUAAAUUAAGUGAAGUGCACUAAUUUACGACAUUAGGAGAACAUCAAAUAUAUAAACAAAUCACAUUUAUAUUUUUUCAAGGCACACUGACUACAAUUCACCUCAUUUAUACAGCAAGCGCGUGGACACAUGCCCUUAGAAAACAGCCAUUGAGACUUGGUCUAUUUUUUGCUUACCUGGAAGGGCAAGAAAUCUACUUUAUCAGAGACUAGAGCGUAGAAAUUUGCUCGAAGGCAGACAGAUAAGAUCUCUGUGUGAGUGUCACUGAAUGAUGUUUCUAUUAUCAUGAAGCCAUGGAGGAAUCAAAGAAGAGCACGAGGAAGAUUACACGUAUAUGACCUCAGUUGCUGGUCCCGUCAUAGUUGAUGAAACUAAUUUUCACUUUCUCAGCAGUAAUGAACCUUACCAGCAUCUCAGCAAUGAGUCGCUUGAUCUUCUUAAGCUUUCUUGACAACGCUAACUCCAACAAGAAGUUGCACAGAAAUUGCUAGGUGAAUACCAAUAAGUUCUUUUUGCCUGAGCUUUUGAAGAGGUGACGGUUCAAAAGUCUUGUCCACUAUAAAGUCUUGUGUGAAGUGAAGUUGAUUCGUUACCAUAAACCCCCGACCAAUUCUUUUACUUGACGAAGCAAGCUUUUGAAAGCUUUUAAAACAAUGGUGUUCUGAAACAAAAUAGUUGACUGCAAAUGUUCAUUAACUUUCCCCGGAAACAAUCAUCUGAAAUUGAUAGCAUGCCGAUGCCGAUAGCCAUUCAAGAAAAUGUCAGCUGUCAUUAAUAUUAAUCUUGAAAAUAUAUUCAGUACUUGCAGUGAACUCGUCUAGUACUUAAGAAUUUUGAUUAGAACUAUAUCAGAAGUUUCCGAUAAGCUUCCUGGAUAUAAAACAAUAGUGGAUUGGAAAUUAAGUAAUUUUCCUAUUAUGUCAUCUGAAAAGUUAAACAUCAAUUUAAUAAAAAAUUCACAGAAUUAGGUAUGUUAAGACACAAACCAAUCAAAUUAAGUAGCAUGCAAUAAUACUAAAAGAUAUUGAAAUGUCAUUCUCAACUUAGCCUAGACAAAGAGUGUAAGGGUUUUUUAUUUGUUAAGCGGGUGUACAUCAUGACCAAACAGCCAUGAACUGAUGGAACAGCCAGACGUUGCUUGACCAAUUCCACACCAAAACCCAGCCAAUGGAAGCACUAAGCUACAGGAGACCAUCUAGUAGAAGUUUUGUUUAAACAGAAUUGCUAAUUUUAAUUAAUAUAAAAAUACAAAAAAGAUUGUAUGACAUAUCAUAUCAUUUAGAUUGCAUGAUAAAAAUACAAAAGAGAGAGAAGGCUGAACAGUCAAAAGAAGAAAGAGAAAGAAGAAGGAGAAAGAAGAAGGAGAAAGACCAAGAGUCUUUAGGAGAGAGGAAGAAAAGAAGAGAGAGAGAGAGAAGAAAAAGGAGGAGAUAAAAGGGAAAAGAAGGAAAGAGUGAGAGAGAGAGGCACGACCGGAGAGCUCGUGCAAGGGAAAGAAAGGAAAGAAAGAAGAAGGAGAAGAAGGAAAAAGAGAAAAAGGCUUCUACCAUAGGAGCCUGGCCAAGCUGAUUCGAUUGCAUAUCGCAACGCUCGGCAAGUACUCUCACCUCUCAUUCGUUCAAUCGAAGUAGUUUCGGACUUAGGGCUCGAAAUUUGAAAUUAUUAGAGAUUCAUGCAGCAAAAUUCCAUUUUUGAAUAAUUAAGCUGCGUAUUUAUAUAGAAAUGAUAGUUUAGGGUGUUGUGAAACUGUACAAUUUUACAGAUCUUGAUUUGAGGUUACAGUUUGCCCAAAACAAAAUUUUGAAGUGUCUCGCGCGUGAUGGAUAGUGUGCAUCUAGGAUUUUGGGGCCGUAUUUUGUCGAUUUUCGGCUUGAUUUUGGAAGGGUCAAGUUCCGGUCCUUGUAGUAUGUUGAAAGUGUUUUCUAUUGACUAUAGGAAUGUUUCAGUGGAAAAAAUUAUAACGUGACCAAGUUUUGCGCUCAAGCCUUGCUAUGUAUGUGAUUUGUUAGUGCGUAGGUGUCUUUUUAUCAAAUAUAAGUAUAAUUUAGUCAAGUCGUUAGUUGAGAUAGCGUUCUACUUAGUUUUGAUGAUAUUUCCCACUUAUAUGAUAGGAAUGUGAGUUCAUUGAUUCAAGUAAGCCUUGUUAUUUGGUUUGGGGCAUAUUUAGGUAAGUGGUGCUAUCUCUUCUAAGAAUUUAUACAGUCAUGUUUUCAAAAUGAUAAAGAUUUGAUAUGAUAUGAAAUAUAAAUAAGCAUGUUUGUUGCAUUAAAUUUGAAUCGAGCAUUUACUACAUUUUGGUAUUUGUGAAUUGUGUAAGAAAUGGUUAGUGGAAAAAUAUAUUCUGUUUGAGGAAUGAAAUUGAGAAAUAUUAUGUAUUUUGGGUUUGCAAAACCUUUUUACGAAAAGCUCUUUGAGCAUGGAUUAUGGAAUGUUAUGUAUAUCGAUUUGUGAAAUUCUUUACGACAUACAUUUGAUUUGACCGAUUUAUGAAACGAGUCUUGAAAUGAUUUGAGAAAUUUUUUACGAAAAAUAUUUCUAGUGAAUGAGCUGGAUUACGGAAAGAUUAUGUGUUUUGAUUUGUGAAAACGAUUUAUGAUAUAUAUUUCGGUUUGGCUUUGUGAAUUGUGGAGGUUGUUGUAGAUCUGUGUUGAUGCUCAAUAUCACUAUGAGCUUGAGGAGAAGCUUGUGGAUAUGCACAUAUUAGUCUAGGAUAUCCUUAUGGACCGAGCCACCGGCUAAUAAUAGGUGAAGAUCUUGCCAAGGGAGAAUCUUGGUCGCCUUGUCACUAGGCGUUGUGUUGUGAUCAUAAUUUGAUAUUGAGCAACAGAUUAGUCAAUGGAGUGGACCAUUAACAUGUUAUAUGAGUUUAGUUGAUGAAAUAGACCAUUAACAUAUGAUUUGAGUUUAGUCGAUGAAAUGGACCAUUGACGUGUGAUUUGAAAUUAGUCACUGGAAUGAACCAUCAACAUGUGAUUUCCUAUGAAAUGAAUCAAUGGAAUAAACCCUUGAUGUGUGGCAUGAGAUUAACCAAUGGAAUGGACCAUUGGCAUGUGAAUUAAUGAAAUUGAUAAAUAGAUUGGACCAUUGAUGUUUAUUUUGAUAUUAUUGUGAAAUAAAUAUGUUGAAGCAUAUGUAACUUAUUAUUUUAUUGUAUGUUUGUUAUAUUCUGGAUUUAGGUUAAAAGAAUUGUGAUUUGGUUUUGUAAAUAUGCAUGGUGUUGUUUGAUCUACUUAGAAAAGAUGCACUACUCAUUGAACUGUUGUUCACCCCUCUAUUUUAUAAUCUUUUUCAGGUUUCUUAGCUAGCGACAUGUAGUACGAGAGUGAUAUUUGACACUAGAACUUUUGAGAAUUGAAUUUUUGUGGUUUGAAACGGUGUCCUUUAGGUGAAAGGACGGCCGUGUCAUCUCCAUUUUUGAUGAUUUUGUGGUGAGACAAUACCAGCUAGUGUAUUCUCCAGAACUUUGAUAUCAGCAAAAUAGAGAAUGGCAGAAAUCGCAGUAAACUGUCUACUUGGCAAGCUCAAGGACUUUCUAGAGAAUGGGGUUCUAUUGGGAGGUGCCGAGGAAGAAGUUACUUUAGUGAAGAGGCAAUUGGAGUACGUCAGGGCAUUCCUGAGGAUUGCAGAUUCCCUGGAAGAGAGUGACGAGGAAGUCAAAGUUUGGGUGAAGCACCUGAGAGAAAUCGCAUAUGACACUGAAGACGCUCUUGAUGAGUUCAAACUUCUCCUUGCGCAUGAUCAUGGAAUUGGUAUUCCCAGUCUUCUAUCCAAGUUGUCCUGCUGUAUCAAGAACAUGAAAGCUCGAUACCGAAUUGCUUCGGAGAUGAAAUCCAUCAACUCCAGAAUCAAAAGCAUCUACGAUGGACACUGGAGAGUCCGAGACAAAUUAAAUGAAGUCGAACAUCGCUAUGGCUCUAGUAAGCCAGACGACACAUGGCAGGACCAGCGAGGGAAUGCUCUUCUUUUAGACAAAGCUGAGCUCGUUGGCAUUAGUGAACCGACAAAAAAGCUGGUCGGCUGGCUGAUUGAGGGCGCUUCCACUCGGCAAGUAAUCUCAGUCGUGGGGAUGGGAGGACUGGGGAAAACUACAUUAGUGAAGCAAGUUUACGAAGAUCCAGAAGUGAAGAAACAUUUCAUGGUACGUGCUUGGAUAACUCUUUCUCAAUCUCCAAAUAUAGAAGAGAUCCUCCAAGGCAUGGUUCGACAAAUUAUGAGGGAGACCGAAGAACCAGUUCCUCCUCCAGAGGACAACAAGGACAGAUUAUGCCAAAAGAUGAUUAUCAAGGACUUGCUACAAAAAGCAAGGUACCUGAUCAUUGUAGAUGAUGCAUGGCGAUUAAAUGAAUGGGAUGCGAUCAAACAUGUGUUCCCUAACAACACCUGUGGCAGCAGAAUAAUCAUCACAUCCAGGAAUUCUGAUUUAGCAUAUACUUCAUGUGGUGAAUUCAGAGGGAUGGUUUACAAGAUGGAGCCCCUACCACCUGAACAGUCAUGGAAGCUUUUCUGCGCAAAGACAUUUCAGGGGAACUCAUGCCCUCCUCAUCUAGAGGAGACCUGUAGGCUUAUUCUAGGAAAGUGCGAGGGGUUGCCACUAGCUAUUGUCGCCAUCAGUGGUGUUUUGGUUUCAAAAGAUAUGAGAAAAAAGGAGGAAUGGGAUCGGGUCCGUCGCGGUCUUCGUACUGAAAUCAAUUGCAACAACAAAUUCAAAACCUUGAAGAGAGUCCUUUCACUUAGUUUGGAUGACCUGCCAUACUACUUGAAGUCUUGUUUCCUGCACUUGAGCGUCUUUCCUAAGGGUUGCAUCAUUGACUGUGGGAAAUUAAUUCGAUUAUGGAUUGCAGAAGGAUUUGUAGACAAAAAAGAAGGCAUGAAGGAAGAAGAAGUAGGCCAGGACUACUUAAAUGAGCUCCUGAACAGAAGCCUGAUAGAGGUGGCUGUUAAAGCAAACGAUGGAAGGAUGAAAUAUUGCCGUAUCCAUGAUUUUCUUCUGGAUAUCAUUACCUCACAGUCGAGCAACCAAGGCUUUGCAGAAAUAGCCACAGAAAGACAUCAUAAAUUGCCUGAUAAAGUUCGUCGCCUAUCUAUACAGACCAGCCUGCCAGCUAUGCAAAAGAAAAGGUCAUUGUCUCAACUACGUUCUUUAUACAUGUUUGGGGUGGAGAGAUCUUCCAUAGAUGCUGUUCUAGGUAGUGAAAUGAGACUUCUCACUGUUCUGGACUUGCAAGCUGCUCCUUUGACAAGGUUCCCAGCUCAAGUUGCUGAGUGGUGCUGCCUGAGAUAUCUUUGUUUCAGGUAUAGCAAGGUGAGAACAGUUCCAAAUUCCAUAGGAAACCUUCAAAACCUAGAGACCCUAGACCUUAAAUACACGUAUGUCAGAGAAUUGCCAAUUGCAAUCUUGAAGCUCCAACAACUUCGCCAUCUACUCAUAUAUCGUUAUGAAAACACAGCCGACUCAUGGUUUAAAUAUGGUUUCAAGUCCCCAGAGGAUAUAGGGGCUCUACAGUCCCUCCAAAAGCUGUGCUACAUAGAAGCAGAUGACAGGAGAAACAGCGGCUUAAUGAGAGAGCUUGGAAAGUUGACACAAUUGGUUAGGUUAGGCAUUGUGAAGUUGAGAAAAGAAGAUGCAAGGGAAUUGUGCUCGUCGAUUGAAAAAUUAACCAAGCUUCAAUCAAUAUCUGUAAGUUCAGUCGAUGAAAAUGAGAUUAUUGUUCUACAACCCCUCUCUUCUCCACCUCCUUUUCUCCAGAGAAUCUACUUGAUAGGACGUCUGGAGGCAUUACCACAUUGGAUAUCAUCUCUUGAUAGCCUAACGGUAUUGCAACUGAGAUGUAGUCAGCUAAAGGAUAGUCCACUGUUGUCUCUUGGGAAUUUGCCUAAUCUU
Molecule: long non-coding RNA, 11679 nt
Filed under: Eucalyptus grandis
Lineage: Eukaryota; Viridiplantae; Streptophyta; Magnoliopsida; Myrtales; Myrtaceae
Description: long non-coding RNA (EGRA_LNC002692)
Source: RNAcentral